Molecule: long non-coding RNA, 212 nt
Filed under: Elaeis guineensis (African oil palm)
Lineage: Eukaryota; Viridiplantae; Streptophyta; Magnoliopsida; Arecales; Arecaceae
Description: long non-coding RNA (EGUI_LNC012476)
Source: RNAcentral
GAUGAAAAAUGGAAUCUAACGAGUCUAAGAGCAGCCCAAAUGGAGUCCAAACGGCGAAGAUAUAUGCGAAGGAAGCCCGGGAGGAGUUGGUACGAUCCACGGGCCAUCGGAGAGCCCCAUGAGCCGGCAUAGGUUGUCGGUGGCAUGGGCCAGGCCUAGCCAGACGCGUGGUGUGCGUGGGCCGCAAUGCUGGGCUGGCCCAAACGUGCGGG